Molecule: ribosomal RNA, 305 nt
Filed under: uncultured Bacteroidales bacterium
Lineage: Bacteria; Pseudomonadati; Bacteroidota; Bacteroidia; Bacteroidales
Description: bacterial SSU rRNA
Rfam family: Bacterial small subunit ribosomal RNA
Source: RNAcentral
CUUAACACAUGCAAGUCGAGGGGAAACGAUAUUGGAAGCUUGCUUCCGAUAGGCGUCGACCGGCGGACGGGUGAGUAACGCGUGGGUAACCUGCCUCACACUGGGGGAUAGCCUUGCGAAAGUAAGAUUAAUACCCGAUGGUAUUGGAUUUCCGCAUGGGGAUUCAAUUAAAGGUGAAAAUUGGUAAAGGAUGGGGAUGCGUUCCAUUAGGCAGUUGGCGGGGUAACGGCCCACCAAACCGACGAUGGAUAGGGGUUCUGAGAGGAAGGUCCCCCACAUUGGUACUGAGACACGGACCAAACUCC